CCCACGAAUUUACCUAUAAACUUGAAAAUCCGCACUGCAAGAGCAAGGAAACAGCAGCCGGAUGACAUCUCUGUCCUUAUCUGGUGUCUGUGCCCCUUUAGUCCUACAGAUGGAAGCCCAGAAUGACAUUGACUUAUGAAUUUCCCUGUAGAUUCUAGCACGGGUUUAGAGGCGGAGGAGGAGGAGAAGAAAAGGCCUAUGAAAUUAAUACUGUUAUCAAUUGCUUCUGGUGUUCUCAUCUCAGCUUUUAUCAAUGGAGGUGUAUUUUUAAUGGCAAGACUAAAGAAGCGAGGUAACAAUUCAACUUCUGUAGUGGACUGCUCUAAAUAAUAUGAUAUAGUCUAUUAUUAAUCAAAGCAUAACUUCGAGCGAAUACUGAAGCAUUAGUUAACUUUCCCUUUCGCUUCAUAGAAGUGAAAAUGAAUAAUGAGGAUCUAGAAUUACCUGUGAUCAAAAUGGCUACUAUUAUGCAAGCAACAAAUAAUUUCUCCACCGAAAACAUGAUUGGAGUUGGAGGAUUCGGUCCUGUUUACAAGGUAAUGUACUAAAUGAAAAAGCUGAAGUCGAACAACAAAAAUAUACUUGCCUUACUUGUAAACUAACAUGCAUAAGCAGGGGAACAUGCCAUCUGGAGAAGAAAUCGCAGUCAAAAGAUUAUCCAGAUGCUCACAUCAGGGUCUCGAAGAGUUCAGAAACGAAGUUAUGGUGAUUGCAAACCUUCAACAUAGAAACCUCGUUAGACUUUUGGGAUGUUGCAUUGAAGAAGAGGAAAGGAUGUUAAUCUAUGAAUACCUGCAGAAUAAAAGUCUUGAUCUUUCUCUUGUUGGUAUACUCAGAUUUAUCCUUCAUCUUUUUCUCGUGCUUGUGAAAUCCCAUACUUUCAUCACUAACAUCCACAUGGUGUUCAAUCACUUGCAGAUCAAUAUCGGAGAACACAGUUGACAUGGCCUAAGCGUUAUGAAAUUAUCAUGGGAAUCGCCAGGGGACUGUUAUAUCUCCAUCAUGAUUCAAGAUUAAAGAUUAUUCAUAGGGAUCUCAAAACGAGCAAUAUUUUACUAGACGGGAAUUUAAGUCCAAAGAUAUCAGAUUUCGGCUUGGCAAGAAUAUUUGAAGAGGAUCAAUCUCUUGCUAGAACAAAAAGAGUUAUUGGGACAUAGUAAGUUUUCUCUAUAUCAUCAAAUUACUUCAUUAUUACCCCCUCAAAUUGCUUCAUUCUUUUCUAUGGUGGCCUUAAGAUCAAUAACUUUAUGCAGUGGAUAUAUGGCUCCCGAAUAUGCAAUCGAUGGAAAAUUCUCGGUGAAAUCUGACAUCUUCAGUCUUGGAGUGGUUUUGUUGGAGAUAAUAAGCGGAAAAAAGAACAGAGGAUAUGGACACUCGGAUCACUAUCUUAACCUCUUGGGCCAUGUAUACUAAUACUUUAGUGUCAUUUUUGCGUUCUCUUUGGUUGUAAAUUUAUCAUGGAAAAAUGAAUGAUAAACAAAAUUUCACCCUUUAAAUCCUUCCUUUCUUUUACCACAUUUCCUACUUGGCCCUUACUAAUUCCUCAUUUACACUAUAAAGGAGGGAUAAUAUUAUCACACCAUUUUCAUUUCACCACUUGGCCCUUACUACUUGGCCCUUACUAAUUCCUCAGAGAUAAUAUUAAAAUGGUGUGAUAAUAUUAUCCCUCAUUUGUAGUGUAAAUGAGGAAUGAAUAAGGGUCAAGUAGGAUAUCUGGGAAAAGACUUAAAAGGGUGAAAUUUUGUUUAUUCUUCUUUUUCCCAUGAUAAAUUUACAACCAGAGAUCGCACCCUUAUAAGAAUAAUGUCAAAAAACUUACCUGGUAUAUUGUGACAGGCAUGGUUGCUGUGGAAAGAAAACAGGAUUUUGGAGUUGAUGGAUGAGUGUUUGAAUGAUACAUUUGCGGAGUGUGAAGUGAAGAGAUGCAUGCAAGUGGGAUUAUUAUGUGUUCAGAAAUUUGCGGAAGAUAGGCCAAACAUGUCAUCUGUGGUUUCAAUGUUAGGAAGCGAUGGAGCAAUUUUGGCAGAACCAAAAGAGCCUGGAUUUUUUAUCGAAAGAAGUAGCAGCCCUGUGGGAAAUUAUAAAUCACCAAAUUUUAAGUCGGAGAAUGCAACAAUAACCAUUACUGACUUGGAGGCCAGAUGAGGAGAUGUACCUCUCUCUCUCACCGAGGGAACAAUCUAACUAAUUUGGAGAAGAACUCAAUUAUUUCAUUGAUAUAUUCAAUAUUUCAACCCUUCCUACUACGAGUAGCUGUAUACUUUCUGAUCUUAUAAUAAGUUUCGUAAAACAAGAGAAUGCUGCAUUAAAAUCUGGAAAUCGAAUUUCGGGGGUGAUGGCCGCACCUUGGGGGCCAAAUGCCGGCAAGAUGCCAACUGGGAUCGGACAACUGAGGGAAGGUAAACGACGCACAACAACUGUGGAGAUCGACGAACGGCGACGACUGAAAUAAGACGAAAAUGCUCGCGCGACAUCCGCUGCUUCUCGCUCUAAAUCUGAAUUCUAAAUUGAGAUCCCCCAAUUUGAAAUCCUUUUUUCUAGAUAAUAAU
This 2549-nucleotide long non-coding RNA is filed under the name Salvia miltiorrhiza (redroot sage). RNAcentral's name for it is "long non-coding RNA (SMIL_LNC005640)". The record is from RNAcentral. Lineage: Eukaryota; Viridiplantae; Streptophyta; Magnoliopsida; Lamiales; Lamiaceae.